This 468-nucleotide ribosomal RNA is filed under the name uncultured bacterium. Its description in RNAcentral is "partial 16S ribosomal RNA". It matches the Rfam family "Bacterial small subunit ribosomal RNA", at positions 28 to 507 of the family's 1533-position model. The record is from RNAcentral.
GACGAACGCUGGCGGCGUGCUUAACACAUGCAAGUCGAACGGAAAGGCCCUGCUUUUGUGGGGUGCUCGGGGGGCGGCGGGGUGAGUAACCCGUGAGUACCCUGCAACUGCCUUUGGGAUAACUUAAGGCCAGUGAGGCUAAUCCCGGAUAGGAGCUACUGCUGCUUGGUGGGGGUUGGUAAGAUUCGGCGGUUGGGGAUGGACAAGCGGCGUAUCAGCUUGUUGGUGGGGUAGUGGCUUACCAAGGCUUUGAAGGGUAGCCGGCCUGAGAGGGGGACAUGCCACAUUGGGACUGAGAUACGGCCCGGACUCCACCGGGAGGCAGGAGUGGGGAAUAUUACACUAUGGGCGGAAGCCUAAUGCAGCAACGCCGCGUGCGGUAUGACGGCCUGCGGUUUGUAUACCACUUUCGCCUUUGACGAAGCGUUAGUGACGGUAAUGGGUGAAUAAGCACCGGCUAACUACGUG